Molecule: long non-coding RNA, 363 nt
Filed under: Equus asinus (donkey)
Lineage: Eukaryota; Metazoa; Chordata; Mammalia; Perissodactyla; Equidae
Description: lncRNA (ENSEASG00005028205.1)
Source: RNAcentral
GCUGGAAAUACAGCUGCAAGCCUCUGUUGACAGAUGGAUGCCUUCUUAAUCACAGCCUGCGUGGGUCUCUCACAGGACAUCCACUAAGAGGAGGGGGAAAGUGAAGAAGGAAGCUCUUUCCGGUCACUUUUUGAGUGUCAGCAAAAUGCAUCCACACAGAAGACCUACCAGUGACGGAGUCAAGUGAUGACUCCUGCUCUCUAGCUCAAAUGCUGGCCAUGGCUGUCUGUGAACACAGCCCAGAGUAGAGCUGCAGGGACUGAGCAAGUGUGGGGAGAGGCGGUGGCAUGCUGGAGCAGCUCACAGUGCCUACAAAAGUUGAUUGUGCCUGUCUCUUCCCGACUCUGGCUCAGGAGUGUCAGG